Molecule: non-coding RNA, 202 nt
Organism: Oryza nivara
Lineage: Eukaryota; Viridiplantae; Streptophyta; Magnoliopsida; Poales; Poaceae
Source: Rfam
CCUCCGUCCCCUGGAUUUGCGUGUCCAACUUUGAUUGUCCGUCUUAUAUGAAAUUUUUUUAUAAUUCGUAUUUUUAUUGUUGUUAGAUGAUAAAACAUGAUUAAUACUUUAUGCAUGAUUUGUCUUUUUAAUUUUUUUUAUAAUUUUUUUAAAUAAGACGAACGGUCAAACAUUGGGCACAGAAACCAGGGUUUGUCUUUUU